Non-coding RNA from Mycena rosella, 125 nucleotides. Lineage: Eukaryota; Fungi; Basidiomycota; Agaricomycetes; Agaricales; Mycenaceae. The record is from the annotation of a GenBank genome assembly.
GCUCGCGUAGCUCAGUUGGUUAGAGCACCGCACCUAUGAGGUUACCUACUCCCGGACUUGCGCCGUAAAGUUCCAGGGGAAACACAUCCAUGCGGGGGUCCUGAGUUCAAACCUCAGCGUGAGUA